GAUGAACGCUGGCGGCGUGCCUAAUACAUGCAAGUCGAGCGAACGGACGAGAAGCUUGCUUCUCUGAUGUUAGCGGCGGACGGGUGAGUAACACGUGGAUAACCUACCUAUAAGACUGGGAUAACUUCGGGAAACCGGAGCUAAUACCGGAUAAUAUUUUGAACCGCAUGGUUCAAAAGUGAAAGACGGUCUUGCUGUCACUUAUAGAUGGAUCCGCGCUGCAUUAGCUAGUUGGUAAGGUAACGGCUUACCAAGGCAACGAUGCAUAGCCGACCUGAGAGGGUGAUCGGCCACACUGGAACUGAGACACGGUCCAGACUCCUACGGGAGGCAGCAGUAGGGAAUCUUCCUCAAUGGGCGAAAGCCUGACGGAGCAACGCCGCGUGAGUGAUGAAGGUCUUCGGAUCGUAAAACUCUGUUAUUAGGGAAGAACAUAUGUGUAACUUACUGUGCACAUCUUGACGGUACCUAAUCAGAAAGCCACGGCUAACUACGUG
Molecule: ribosomal RNA, 497 nt
Filed under: uncultured bacterium
Lineage: Bacteria
Description: partial 16S ribosomal RNA
Rfam family: Bacterial small subunit ribosomal RNA
Source: RNAcentral